GUGUCAGCCGCCGCGGUAAUACGUAGGGUGCAAGCGUUAAUCGGAAUUACUGGGCGUAAAGCGUGCGCAGGCGGUUUUGUAAGUCAGAUGUGAAAUCCCCGGGCUCAACCUGGGAACUGCAUUUGAGACUGCAAGGCUAGAGUGUGUCAUAGGGGGGUAGAAUUCCCGGUGUAGCAGUGAAAUGCGUAGAGAUCGGGAGGAACAUCCGUGGCGAAGGCGGCCAUCUGGACCAGCACUGACACUGAGGCACGAAAGCGUGGGGAGCAAACAGGAUUAGAUACCCUGGUAGUCCACGCCCUAAACGAUGCGAACUGGAUGUUGGGAGCAACUAGGCUCUCAGUAUCGAAGCUAACGCGUUAAGUUCGCCGCCUGGGGAGUACGGUCGCAAGACUGAA
This 395-nucleotide ribosomal RNA is filed under the name uncultured bacterium. RNAcentral describes it as "bacterial SSU rRNA". It matches the Rfam family "Bacterial small subunit ribosomal RNA", at positions 505 to 898 of the family's 1533-position model. The record is from RNAcentral.